This is a long non-coding RNA of Protopterus annectens (West African lungfish), 602 nucleotides long. RefSeq lists it as uncharacterized. Lineage: Eukaryota; Metazoa; Chordata; Ceratodontiformes; Protopteridae. The record is from RefSeq and is a predicted model, not a curated record. The transcript has 3 exons.
CAGUGUGUGUGUUCACUGUUUUUGUUUGCCUUUCAGAAAGCAAAGAAAUCUAAUAAAUCCAGGGUUGCAGAAUCUGCUGUAAGAUCACACUCAGCAGAGUCUGCUGGACCAUCUAAUGUAUGUGAAGGAGCAAGUGACCAGUCUUCAGGGGAGAAGAAAAAUGGCAUUUCUAUUGACAAAACUCUAGGACCUGGACCUUCAUCUUCAUUAGUGAAGCCCUCUAAAGUUGUCUCAGGUGCCACCAAGAGAGUUGCACCCGAUGGUAAAUCAGAGGCCUACAAAUCUAUUUUUACAUCACAUUGCUCUGCUAAGCGCUCAAAAGAGCAGACGUCCCAUUGGGUUACACAUACAGCCUAUUAUUUCUGAUUCUGUAAUUAUAGCAUUCUAAGCUGUUGAUGUCUACAGUGAUAUGUUGUAUUAAAGUAACGAGCAGUUAGUGUCUCUGCAAGAUAUUUGAGAAGUGGGUUAUAUAUAUUUUAGUGCAACAGGCUUGUUGCUGUAUUUUUCCUUCUAAAUAUUGCAUUUCACCUUUGAUUAAGUCAUUAGAAAAGUGUGUCCCUUUGAGCAAGAACUACUAUUAAAACAGUGUUUGAACAUGUUAA